CAAACAAGCUGGUAAGAUGCCUCAGUCCCUGAAAAACUAAGGCGGUCCCCUACAAGGUAAAACCGCAAGCUUUGUUUUACAUUGCUGGUUCUGUGGAGACUUAACACUGCUUGCUUCACACUCCGCGAUUCUCAACCAAACGACUUCAGCAGGAAGAUCGAAGGCGGCUCACGAGGUUCAGAGGAACUCGAAGGAAGCCAAUUUGGGAGAAGGAGACAGAGAGACAGAGAAGAACUACUUGACUGUAGCUCUGUAGAUUUUGCUGCUAAGGUUGUCUGCCAGUUAGACUAGGUGUCACCCGAUUCUUCUGGAGUUCACUAAACCAGGUUGAAGUCACCCACAGAAGUCAAUGGCUAAAAAAAUAAAGCGGAAGUGGAGUAGCCCUAACUAGCGAAUGUCUGUCUGUCUGUCUGUCUGUCUGUCUGUCUGUCUGUCUGUCUGUCUGUCUC
Long non-coding RNA from Lacerta agilis (Sand lizard), 449 nucleotides. RefSeq lists it as uncharacterized. The record is from RefSeq and is a predicted model, not a curated record. Lineage: Eukaryota; Metazoa; Chordata; Lepidosauria; Squamata; Lacertidae. The transcript is spliced from 3 exons.